UUUUCGAGUCUCUCUCUCGGGAUAGGCAUUUUUUUUCUCUUCCUUCUCGUUUUGCUUAUCUUCAUUGCAAACCAUCCAGAUCUCUUAAAAUUGAACAUAAUCAGUCAAAAAUUAAAGCUGUCUUAUGUGAAAUCAAACCGAAUUUGUGAGAUCUGUUGAACUAAAUCUGAUUUGUGAAAUGGGUUUUGAUAAGAUUGAGGUCAAAGCUAUUUUCUUUUAUCUCUUUUCAGAUGGGGGUUUAAAUUCAAACUGAUUUGUGAGAUCUCUUUAACUCAUCUCACAAAUCAAAACCCAUCUUUCAUAAAUCUUCGGAUUUCAUUUUAAAUUCUAGAAAUGAUUUUGUCCUUCAAAAACCCUAGCAAACUAUUUUCUCUAUUUUAACGAAUUUAGUUUUUGAGUUUAAUUACUUUAUAUCUUCACAUUUGAUUAUAUGGAUUUUAUGAUUUUGGUAUUUAUAAUUAGGAAGAAUCAUUUAAGUUUAGGAUUUAUAUGGUUCUUUUUCAUUUGCAUGUUCUUCUGGUUUUUUCUAAUAGAAUCUAAUCCUUAGAUAUGAGAUUUGUGGGGUUUGAGCUAAUCUGGUUAUUUCGUUUUUUCUUGUGGAUUCCUAUGUCGUAAGCCUGAUUUCUUGGUGGUGUAUAAUUAUUCUAAUACAGAUCCAGAAGUUGGAAAGUGAGAUCUAAUACAUAUCACUAAAAGUGGUUAAGCCUCAAUAGCUGAUGCUUCCGUUGUUGAUAUGCAACAGCCUAAGGUUGAUCCACAAAUGGAAGUGUUAGAUGGGGAUUCAAAAGGUUUAGUCAAGAUCAAGCCAUUCAUUGGGAAUCUCAAUGAACACCAUUUUUAUUCCUAGUAUGCUUGUCCAAGAUAUUAGUCAAAAGGUUUAGUCAAGAUAUUGACUGUAGUUGCCAUUAAUACCAACCAGCAGAAAGAACACUAUUUCCUACUAAGAGGUGUCAUUCUAAACCUGACUUUACUUUUCGGUGAGAGUCUUUCACGGAGGAAACAAGGGCACAAGUACUGGAGAGGGGAGAUGAGUUUUGGAGUCUUGACAAAGAUAGAUAUCAUGGAUAAGGGUAUUGACGUUUUUGAUUAUUCAAACUACAAAGUGGAAAGAGAUGUUCCAACUUCUGAAUAUGAUACAGGGCACAGAAACCCUCAAAUGUGGAGAUCGUGGAGGAAACAGAGAGAUUGCUGGGUUCAUCAUCAGAACUUCUCGGAAGUCUGAAAUGUGGACAUCUUCCAACAUCAGUUUAGAGCUCCAAAAUCUGAGUGGCAGAAACCAAAAGGAAAGAAAACAAAAAUGAAAACCAGUAGACCCUAGCCAUGCUUCUGCUAUCCAAUAAAGGUCCCAUGAACUUUAGAUAGACCCAAGAUGCGAAGUGCUGUAAUGGAAUCCACUUUUCACAAGUGUAUUAGCAAAUCAUUGUGAGUACCAAAGCUCCCUCUUUGUGGAUAUCUGGGCAGCAAGAGAGCUCAUGCCAAGCAUGCUUGGGAGUUCUGCAAAGUUGAUUCUGUACGAACUACCCAUUUUCUGUAUGGCUUUUCUUCUUGGACUCCUUCAAUUGUUUGUGUUCAACUUCCCCGCAGUCUGCAAUCAAAACUCCAUGAUCCAGCUCUGCACCAGUAUUACACAAGGUCAUGGAGAAGGUGUUUGCUUUGUUGCUCGCCGAGUUCUGGAAAUUGGGGGCGAAAAUCAUAUUCGCGAACUUCCUCGAACAUUAUUAUUGACACCAGAAAGAUCUAUUAUUCGCGGAGUUAUUGAAGAAUCCAUUUUGUAUAUGGAUAUAUACUUGAUCCGCCUUUUCAUUUAUGAAAACUGUGGCCCCUCAUGCACAAGUAUGUAUUUCUUACUUCUACGCUACUUUUAUUCAUUGGUUCCGUCCACAAUCUAUAUGUAUGAACUACUCUCUAAAAUUUGAAUAAAAUUGCCAGGAACUCCCAUAACAUCAUAUAAGCCUUGUAUUGUGCCAUCAUCAUAUACACUUCCUUGUUCUCUGUGUUUCAUCUUUGGUAAUUAGUUAGGGUUAUCUUAAUGUAUCUCAUGAGCUAUCUUUGGUGAAUCUUCAAGUUAAUUUGUUUUCUCUUCAUGUUAUAGCAGCAUGGUCAGUUGGUUGAAACUUGGGCAAGUCUUGUAGUGUGUUAACAUCAAACACACUCCUACUAUUUUCUUGUUGAUCUAAUCAUUAAAACUUGGACCAAGUACUGUGAAGAUAUUUGGAGCAACAAUCUAAUAACAAUAGCUUUAAUUAUAGCAAUUCUUUUAUGUUGCGGAAUGGAAUUUUAUCUGUGUUGCAACAAUACGUCAAAACUUCUUUUUUCGGCGUAUCAAUACGUAUUGUAUGGAUACGUGUAUCCAAUACGUCCAAUACGGCCAAUACCAACUGUAUAAUCCUUUUUUUCAGUUAAAAUACCAAAAGUUGGAUAAGAAGCAACAACUGUCCAUAUAUUUCUUUAGUACUAAUAAAAGUUAGAUAUUUAUCACCAGCUGUCAUCACCCCCUCCAGUCAAUACUUAUCCCAAACUUUCUCCUCCUCUUAAUCUCAACACUUAUCUGAUUACCUCUAACUCUCUCUGUUUUAUCUCCUCCAAAACCAGUAGAAUACCCAAACCCUAUUUAUCCCAGAUACUGAUAUACAACUAUGAGCAAGAAAAGAAAAGACGCAAAUCUCAACACCCCCUUUGGAAUUAUGUUGAAAAACAAGGAAAAAGUGACGAAGGUGGUGGAAACAAUAAAAUCCAGUGCACAAUAUGUAACUAUAUAUUCUUUGGUUCUUAUACUCGGGUGAAAGCCCAUCUUCUUCGUAUAGAAGGACAAGGUGUUAAGAUAUGUGAGGGCAUAGAUCCUGAUAGUUUUGAGGAAUUGAAGAAGUUAUCAGAAGAUGUAUGUAUUUUGUUAUUUUUCUAUCUCAUAUAUAAUAUAUAUAUAUUUUAAGACUACAGAUUAAUAUUGAGUAUUCCGUAUCGCCGUAUUACCAUUUUUUUGCUGGUGUAUCCUAGUAACGUAUUGGUAUCUUGUAUCGGAUACCGUAUCCGUAUCGUUGCAACACAGAAUUUUAUUGUGCAUACUGAAACUAAGUUGGUAAUGUUGUAAAAAGUUGGAAGGAUGAGUGAUUGUGUUAUCAGGUCAGGGUUAUACAUUAUUUGUAAUACUGGAAUUUCGGAAAUACAAUACCUAUUGUAAAUU
Molecule: long non-coding RNA, 3181 nt
Organism: Papaver somniferum (opium poppy)
Lineage: Eukaryota; Viridiplantae; Streptophyta; Magnoliopsida; Ranunculales; Papaveraceae
Exons: 10
Source: RefSeq, a predicted model, not a curated record